RNAcentral lists this ribosomal RNA (548 nucleotides) under uncultured Bifidobacterium sp. Its description in RNAcentral is "bacterial SSU rRNA". It matches the Rfam family "Bacterial small subunit ribosomal RNA", at positions 147 to 710 of the family's 1533-position model. The record is from RNAcentral. Lineage: Bacteria; Bacillati; Actinomycetota; Actinomycetes; Bifidobacteriales; Bifidobacteriaceae.
CUCCUGGAAACGGGUGGUAAUGCCGGAUGCUCCGCCCCCCCGCAUGGGGGGUCGGGAAGGCUUUUGCGGAAUGGGAUGGGGUCGCGUCCUAUCAGCUUGUUGGCGGGGCGACGGCCCACCAAGGCUUCGACGGGUAGCCGGCCUGAGAGGGCGACCGGCCACAUUGGGACUGAGAUACGGCCCAGACUCCUACGGGAGGCAGCAGUGGGGAAUAUUGCACAAUGGGGGGAACCCUGAUGCAGCGACGCCGCGUGCGGGAUGGAGGCCUUCGGGUCGUGAACCGCUUUUGAUUGGGAGCAAGCGUGAGUGAGUGUACCUUUCGAAUAAACACCGGCUAACUACGUGCCAGCAGCCGCGGUAAUACGUACGGUGCAAGCGUUGUCCGGAAUCAUUGGGCGUAAAGGGCUCGUACGCGGUUCGUCCCGUCCGGUGUGAAAGCCCAUCGCUUAACUGUGGGUCUGUCCCGGGUACGGGCGGGCUUGAUUGCGUCAGGGGAGGCUGGAAUUCCCUGUGUAACGGUGGAAUGUGUGGAUUUCUGGAAGAACAAC